Molecule: long non-coding RNA, 1645 nt
Filed under: Homo sapiens (human)
Lineage: Eukaryota; Metazoa; Chordata; Mammalia; Primates; Hominidae
Description: MIR3976 host gene, transcript variant 7 (MIR3976HG)
Source: RNAcentral
AACUCUCUCUCUUUCUGAUUGAGUGUAAGCUGCUAUAUGAAGGGAUCCACAAGACGAAUAAUUAAGGGGGACCUCUGAUCAACAGCCAGCAAGGAACUGAAUCCCUCAGACCCACAACUCACAAGAAACUGAAGCUGAAGCAGAUUCUUCCUCAGUCAAGCUUCAGGUGCCCAGCUGUAUUGGUAGAGGAGACCAACCACACCCUCCACAGCACAGCACCUGGAGAGGAACUGCUGCCAUGACCAUAGAGGACACCCUCUGGAUACAAUGCCAGACUUGAUGUGGGACUGACCAACCUAUGGACCCCAGGCACCACCACCCAGACCUGCUCAGCACCUGAAACAUUCACAGCCGUGGAGAGAGAACUGUUCACUGCUACCAUCCACACUUCUGGGCCCCUUCAGCAGCAGGGUGACAAGGAAGAGGGAAAUCGACUUGGAAAAGAGGGGACCUCUGACCCAAGAGUUCGGUCAAUGCAUAUGUUGGCAGCCAGCUGCACAUCGCACCAAAUAUGAACUUCAAAUAGAAGAAAGCCUCAUUUGGAAGAAAGCUCAUGCACAGACUGUAAAUAUUUCAGAGCAGAUUGUGUCUCUGUAGAUUAACCGGAUACAGUGGCUUGCACCUGUGGUCUCAGCGACUUGGGCGACUGAAGCAAGAAGAUCACUUGAGCCUAGGAGUUCGAGGCUACAGCAAGCUAUGACCGUGCCACUGCACUCCAGCCUGGGCGUGACAGACCAGCUCUUCUUCUGAAGGAUGACCACCUGGAAUAAGAGCAGCCCUAGGCCCCCCACCUCACUCCAGGUGGCAGAUCCACAGAGAUGGUAGCGAUACAGAAGCACAGCUUCCGAUGGCUUCCCCGUGUCUUCAGUUUGCAGCCUUAUUUCGGUGCUUGGACGUGCUUAACUUCUCAGGAUUAUAUUCUGCUUUGGAGUGCAAGGAGAAAGUCACAGUCUAGUUUUAUGAAGACCAAACUAGAGAAAAUCGAGUUAUCUUAAAGUGUAUGACAUCUCCACAAAUGAAUGUUUAUGGCUUUACACUUGGAGUGUUCUUGGAACACUCUUCAUAGCAAAUCCUCCCUCAGAAGACCCCCACCUGGCAUCAGAACAAACGAUGCUCUUUUUCUUCCACCCCUGGGCCUGCCUAUUUUCCUCCCUUGUUAUUGACAGUCAGCCUUCGUGGGACUUGGUCACAAUGUAGGAUCAGAAAGCACAGGUGGUGGAAAUCCUGAAAUGCUUCUGGCUCUGGGAUGAAGGCUAAGUCCUUAGGAUGGCUGGCAUUUGUAACUCCUACUGUAGUUCACACCCAUGUGGGCUCAGCACUAGCACAGUGCUUUUCUGAUGUCAUAGAUGAACGGAUGGCAUACAGAAAGUAAGGAGCUUCUCAGGUCUUGGCAGAGUUGCAGGUAGUUUGACUAAAGUUGGACUCCUUAACUGGUGGUGGCUUAAUAGAUAAAACAUUGAAUUUUCUUAUCAAUUUAAAGAAGAAUCUCAUUCCUUUUUGAAGAAAAAACCCCAAAGAUAACUUCCCUGGGGUAGGGUGGGGUGUCUUAGAUUGUUUUUCAGAGUUAGUCAUUCAAAAAUUUAGUCUAAAUAUUCACCCAAUGAGUUUUAUUCCUCCCUUCCAAAUAGCAAUAAAAAUUUUAAAA